This 824-nucleotide ribosomal RNA is filed under the name bacterium. RNAcentral's name for it is "bacterial SSU rRNA". It matches the Rfam family "Bacterial small subunit ribosomal RNA", at positions 29 to 868 of the family's 1533-position model. The record is from RNAcentral.
ACGAACGCUGGCGGCGUGCUUAACACAUGCAAGUCGAACGAUGAAGCCCUUCGGGGUGGAUUAGUGGCGAACGGGUGAGUAACACGUGGGCAAUCUGCCCUGCACUCUGGGACAAGCCCUGGAAACGGGGUCUAAUACCGGAUAUGACCGUCCAUCGCAUGGUGGAUGGUGUAAAGCUCCGGCGGUGCAGGAUGAGCCCGCGGCCUAUCAGCUAGUUGGUGAGGUAGUGGCUCACCAAGGCGACGACGGGUAGCCGGCCUGAGAGGGCGACCGGCCACACUGGGACUGAGACACGGCCCAGACUCCUACGGGAGGCAGCAGUGGGGAAUAUUGCACAAUGGGCGAAAGCCUGAUGCAGCGACGCCGCGUGAGGGAUGACGGCCUUCGGGUUGUAAACCUCUUUCAGCAGGGAAGAAGCGAAAGUGACGGUACCUGCAGAAGAAGCGCCGGCUAACUACGUGCCAGCAGCCGCGGUAAUACGUAGGGCGCAAGCGUUGUCCGGAAUUAUUGGGCGUAAAGAGCUCGUAGGCGGCUUGUCACGUCGGUUGUGAAAGCCCGGGGCUUAACCCCGGGUCUGCAGUCGAUACGGGCAGGCUAGAGUUCGGUAGGGGAGAUCGGAAUUCCUGGUGUAGCGGUGAAAUGCGCAGAUAUCAGGAGGAACACCGGUGGCGAAGGCGGAUCUCUGGGCCGAUACUGACGCUGAGGAGCGAAAGCGUGGGGAGCGAACAGGAUUAGAUACCCUGGUAGUCCACGCCGUAAACGGUGGGCACUAGGUGUGGGCAACAUUCCACGUUGUCCGUGCCGCAGCUAACGCAUUAAGUGCC